GGAGCCGUGUUGUUCCUUGGACAUACAUACCUUUCCCAGUGUGAGGGACAUGGACCGUGCCGUGCGAGGGACCCCAUCUUCUGCAGCAGAGGAGAACGGAGAAGAGAACACAGGGAUUCCUGUUGCUAAAGGGUCUGUUUUCUCCUGCUAGCCACCUUCAUCAGCCAGAGUCCAAACCCUGACAGUGCCCACAAAGAGAUCUGGUCCAAGGCACCAACCUCUUCCUCCUGGACUGAGAAAGAGCCUCCCAACUCGUCUCUCUUGACCUUGCCUUUUGCACAACUCCAAUAUAUUGUCCACUGAAGUCAGAAUAAUCUAAAAACAAAGCCUGAUUACGUCAUGUGGUGUAAACUUACCAAUGACUCCCUGUUGCCUAAAGGCAUAAAUUGCUAUCGUGGCCUGGCAUAUGGCCCCGGUCUUCCAAGUCUCAGUUUCAACCUGUCACUACCACACCCAACACUGCCACUAUGGCAAACUGUUUGUUUCAACUUCUUUUCACCCUCAACCUCCACACCUUUGUCCAUGAUGCUUUCUCCACUCGGGAUGUAUCUUCCUCUGUUGGCUGGAGAACUCCUAUUUUUACUUUAAAACACCGACCAGAUAGCCUCCCUCUUUGAAGCCCUCCUUGUCUCCCUUCAAGGCAGAAUCAGGUUGCCCCUCCUCUGUGCUCCUACAGCAAUCCGUAUAGAACUUCUAAACACGAGCAUUUCUUUGAAACAUUU
Long non-coding RNA from Sapajus apella (tufted capuchin), 722 nucleotides. RefSeq lists it as uncharacterized. The record is from RefSeq and is a predicted model, not a curated record. The transcript is spliced from 2 exons. NCBI's taxonomy places the organism in Eukaryota, Metazoa, Chordata, Mammalia, Primates, Cebidae.